UCUUUAUCUGAUUGGCUAGUGCCUUUGUUUGGUUCACCACUGUUUCCCUAGCUUUCUUGUUGCCAUCGCCUUUAGAUUAGCUGAACAGCAUUUGUGUUUGUGUCCUGAUUUUUCGGUUCCAAACUUCACUGCAUUGUUUUCUUGUUUUCUCUCUUUAUUUCUUUCGAUGUGUGUGCCACAGUGAUGGGUUUGAAGAAUGCAUGAUUUAUUUCUUUUGAUUAUCAUGACUUGAAAGAAAACAUCAUCUUGACCGCAGUGCUCUGUUUAUUGCGUAAUAGAUUAAAGUAAUGCAUAUAGAAAUUGGGAAAACAUGCUAGGAAGUGUACUUUUACCUGAUUCAUUUAUUUGCAUAUGACAUUGAGCUUAAUGACUGAAGUGCAAAAUAAUGGGAUGGGGGAACUUGGUAGAGUAACAUGGAGAUUUUUCAUUGUGUAUGACAAAUAUUAAGUUGCAAAUAAAUUUCUUGAAUGCUGGAUUUGAUGAAGAUAAAAGAUCAGCAUACUACUAAACGCAUAACAUGAUAUGAGCCGAAAAGAAGUAUUCGCUGUUUCUGUUCAUCCCCUACUGCCCUUUCCUCUGUUCCUUUUUCUGCUGGCGACCUGUCUGUCCUGUACCUUGUAGGGGCUGGGCUGCCACCACGGUUAUUUAAGAACUCACAUCUAUCAGCACUUCACGACUUGCCAUUUGCCACCCUGCCUCACAUCCAUUGACAUAGGCUAUCCCACAUGUCAGUGAGAUGGGGUGGCAAAUCCUGAACCAGGCAAUCAUAAGAUUGGAAAAUUUAUAGGACAGCCAUUGAAUUGUUGCCUCUAUGAGAUUACUCCAUCCCUCUCCAUGACAUCCUUGCCAGAUGUAUGGUAGAGAGGAUGGCAAGGUUGGUAUUUUGAGAAAUAUGAUGGUUUUCUGGGCUCUGAAAGCUCAUAUAUUCCAACCAAACAUGCCUAUCUGAUCUUGCUUUUGGUGUUUUUGGUUAGUAGGUGAUUAAGGGAUGAAAGCGCUGCGCCAUUGUACUCAACUACUCACCAAUAUCGGAGAUGCUUUCACAUAAAAUUUAGGGUGACAAGCAGCAUACUGUUAGCGUAAUGAAUACAUAUGGUGCUUAUAAUUUUACCCUUUUUUUACAAGCGGACUUUUAGGUGGAGCAGGGAAGAGAUGGGUGAGUUAAAAAAAAUCCACCCUCCACUCAGCUGAAACAAUGUUGGAAUUUGGAAAUCAUGGUGAGGCUUCUACGUACAGGCUGAGGGCAAUUCUAAGCAGUUAGUGAAGAACAGUCUGCAUUCUAGCAGUCACUAUCUUAAAUAUAUUAUUAUUGGAGAGUGAUCAUUUGGCCUAUCUAGGUUUGUUAGAUUAGGUUGCUAUAUUGAGAACCUAAAGGGUGAAAGGAACAUUUGGAAUGUCCACUAUUGCUCAUGGCAUUAACUAGUUCACGGGCCUUCCUCAAACCAUCACACUUCAGAUGCACUGGUAUAUCUAUAUCAAUACUUUAGGCAGUAAUCACGGCCAUAUAAUGAUAGCUACUGGUUGACUUUUGUGAGCUGAAAUUCACUGGGGGCUUCUUUUUGGAUCUGAUUUGGUGGUGACCAACCUUGUAAUGUAUUGCGGUUCAUUAAUCGGUAAACAUUGCUGGGAAGAUAGUUAGAUAGCUGUCAGCUUUGAGGGACAGUAGACUGUAGAUUAGAAAGGGGAUUUCACUACUUCUUUCUUGGUUCCAAAUGGAUCCCCGGCCCCUUCUUUUUUUGAAACUGGAUGCCAGGCCUCCUGCUUAUAUAGAGGUCGAGCUAGCCCUAACCUUAACAACCUAACCUCAUCCCUACUAACUAACCUUAUGGUGACUGGCAGCACUACAAUACCACAACAAUGCUACAGUACUUGGGCAUGCUGCCAUGCCAUGCUGGGCCAAAGGCCCAUGACUCAGCCUGCCCCAUAACAAACCCAAACCAAAGAUUCAGUUUUAUUUGUGGAAACCUGUAAGUAGCAACAUGCACACAGAAUUCUAAUAUUUUACUGCUUUUGAUAUCCCUCAGUUAUAUUUCUGGUAAUGUCACAAGGUGCAUCUUGCUGUAAUCUCCUCAAAUCCAACUGUGCUGCAUUCCUGCUUGGUCAAUGAUGAUGGUUAUUAUGGUUGGCGUUCCAAGAUCUAACUGAACCGCGCCAUGGCAAUCUGAGAUCAGGAAAUGAUAUUUAUGAUACAUAAAUUACUUUAAAGCUUUCUCAUAUAACCUGCACAGUAGGGAUGGCAUCUUUUUUAUGCAGUUAACGUUGUUUACUUAAUUACUGGUCAAGAAAAACUGCCCAAACGACUUUUGGACUACAUAACUUUCCAUGUUUUUCAGUUAAAUUUAAUGUUGAAAACCUUUUGUGGUCCAUCAGGACAAUUUAAGAUAACUUGGAGUGUCAGCACCAUGAUGGCAGGAAGAUAGGUUUAAAGUGGUCUCAUAGCCAAUAUAUCCAUCAGUCAGUGUUGGUUGGAAAGUUAUCUGUCCUCCCAGUCAAAUUAUAUUGAUUUCCACCCAAGUUGAACUAGCUACUUGGUUUUGAAAUUAUUCAGGGUUGUUUUUAAAGAUAAGAUGACUCCUCAGGUAUGAAUUGAUGAGUAUUUCUAUGGAUUUGGGUAGAAAAUAAUGAAUCAAGGCUCCAUAGGUCCUCUUUCUCCCCAGUCUAUUCCUAUCCCUCUCCUCUCUAGAAUCAUGCAUGCUUUUCAGCCGGCACCAUCUUAUUGGAAGGAAUGACAAAAACUGAUACGGCAAGCUGAAAUGAUGAAAUCUCACUUUUUCUGUAAAAUGUUAACAUACUGAUUUCUUGCCAGAAUAUUCCAGUUCGACAUAGUAACUAUAUGUUUUCCCAAUAUACCACUAGACAAGGCCUUCCUGUCUAAUCACCAUAAUUUGUUACUUUAUACCUGAACAUGUUUGAAAAGAUUAUCAAUGAAGUCAGAAGAUUCUUACUUGUUUUGGCUUUUACCGGUGCCCAAUUCAUUAUUGAUAAUUAAUAUUAUGAUAAGAGUUCAUUAAUCCAAUUAUAAUGCUUUAUAUUGGCUGAUCAACCUCUGAAGUUAACAACAACAAGAAACAGUAGGAGGGUGAGAUCCAGAGGCAACAUUCAAAUGCGAAUUGAGAACCCUAUUGAAUGAUACCUAACCAGCCCCUUUGUCCCAGUAAUUAAGGGACUGGCUAGACUGCAAGUCUGUAUGUGCUUAUUGUGAUGAUCCAGUCGCAGUUCUCUAGUGGCUCUUUUGAUUUAGUCCAAAUUUACCAGCAGCUUCAGGUUUGUCAGCAACACUAAAAUAUAUAUUUCUUUCUGAUGUGAUUGGAGGUUUUGAGUAAAGAAUCUUUCUUUAUUUCCUUAGAAGGUUGUUAAAGAAAGAGAAAAUUACAUGUUUGUAUUUUAUUCCAUUCACACACGUUCCCCACCAUCCAGUUUCAUCCUGCAAGUGCAAUGUGGGGAUAAUUAGGAAGAUGUAGAUGGAGGCAAAGGUUUUUAACUUUUCUGUGCCCUACUUCUGUCCUUUUUAUCAAGCCACAUGCCAAGGCAAAAGUUCGCUGCUGAGUGCUGACAAGCCUGCGGGUACCAAGAAUGUUUUCCAAAAACUGUUGCCUUUUUCUGUAGUUCUAAUCUCUCGUUUUCCAUGAGAUGGUUUCAGAGUCACAUUUUAGUUUUUUUAGGACAGGAUUGCCCAGGUGCCACCUAGUGCUGCCCAUCAUUGUCAUCAUUGCUAACCCACUUAUCAGUUCUGCUCAUUGUCCUCGGACAAGCUUGUGGACAGUACCCUUUCCAUCCUUCUGGCAGUUGGCAAUCUGUAGAUCAGCAAAACAUAGUGUAUUGUCUCUACUUUAGACUUUUAAAGCUAUCUAAUAGCAACUGCUAAUUGCCUCA
Setaria italica (foxtail millet) is the source of this 3873-nucleotide long non-coding RNA. RefSeq lists it as uncharacterized. NCBI's taxonomy places the organism in Eukaryota, Viridiplantae, Streptophyta, Magnoliopsida, Poales, Poaceae. The transcript has 2 exons. The record is from RefSeq and is a predicted model, not a curated record.